AGGGAUUAAGAGUGGGGAAUGGCGAUACAUAGGCUAGAUGCGAGUUAACGGUCAGCAUGGCACAAUGUUUAAGGGAAUUCUGAGAGGAAUGGCCCCCCACACUGGUACUGAGACACGAUCAGACUCUACGGGAGGCAGCAGUACGAAAUAUUGGUCAAUGGGCGGAAGCUGAACCAGCCAUGCCGCGUGCAGGAAGACGGCCCUACGGGUUGUAAACUGCUUUUAUACGGGAAUAAACCCUGAUACGUGUAUCAAGCUGAAUGUACUGUAAGAAUAAGGAUCGGCUAACUCCGUGCCAGCAGCCGCGGUAAUACGGAGGAUCCAAGCGUUAUCCGGAUUUAUUGGGUUUAAAGGGUGCGUAGGCGGCUUGUUAAGUCAGAGGUGAAAGGCGGUAGCUUAACUAUCGGAGUGCCUUUGAUACUGAUGAGCUUGAAUGCAGCUGAGGUAGGCGGAAUGUGACAAGUAGCGGUGAAAUGCAUAGAUAUGUCACAGAACACCGAUUGCGAAGGCAGCUUACUAAAGUGUGAUUGACGCUGAGGCACGAAAGCGUGGGGAUCAAACAGGAUUAGAUACCCUGGUAGUCCACGCCCUAAACGAUGAAUACUCGAUGUUGGCGAUAUACGGUCAGCGUCUAAGCGAAAGCGUUAAGUAUUCCACCUGGGGAGUACGCCCGCAAGGGUGAAACUCAAAGGAAUUGACGGGGGCCCGCACAAGCGGAGGAGCAUGUGGUUUAAUUCGAUGAUACGCGAGGAACCUUACCCGGGCUUGAAAGUUAGUGAAUGAGACAGAGACGUCUCAGUCCUUCGGGACACGAAACUAGGUGCUGCAUGGCUGUCGUCAGCUCGUGCCGUGAGGUGUUGGGUUAAGUCCCGCAACGAGCGCAACCCCUAUGUUUAGUUGCCAGCACAUAAUGGUGGGGACUCUAAACAGACUGCCUAUGCAAAUAGAGAGGAAGGAGGGGACGACGUCAAGUCAUCAUGGCCCUUACGUCCGGGGCUACACACGUGCUACAAUGGAUGGUACAGAGGGCAGCUACCUGGCAACAGGAUGCCAAUCUCAAAAAGCCAUUCACAGUUCGGAUCGGGGUCUGCAACUCGACCCCGUGAAGUUGGAUUCGCUAGUAAUCGCGUAUCAGCAAUGACGCGGUGAAUACGUUCCCGGGCCUUGUACACACCGCCCGUCAAGCCAUGGAAGCUGGGGGUGCCUGAAGUGCGUAACCGUAAGGAGCGCCCUAGGUAAUUCCCC
RNAcentral lists this ribosomal RNA (1245 nucleotides) under uncultured bacterium. RNAcentral's name for it is "bacterial SSU rRNA". It matches the Rfam family "Bacterial small subunit ribosomal RNA", at positions 212 to 1470 of the family's 1533-position model. The record is from RNAcentral.